This 1345-nucleotide ribosomal RNA is filed under the name uncultured bacterium. RNAcentral describes it as "bacterial SSU rRNA". It matches the Rfam family "Bacterial small subunit ribosomal RNA", at positions 8 to 1374 of the family's 1533-position model. The record is from RNAcentral.
AGAGUUUGAUCCUGGCUCAGGACGAACGCUGGCGGCGCGCCUAACACAUGCAAGUCGAACGAGUGAGAGAGAGCUUGCUUUCUCGAGCGAGUGGCGAACGGGUGAGUAACGCGUGAGGAACCUGCCUCAAAGAGGGGGACAACAGUUGGAAACGACUGCUAAUACCGCAUAAGCCCACGGCUCGGCAUCGAGCAGAGGGAAAAGGAGCAAUCCGCUUUGAGAUGGCCUCGCGUCCGAUUAGCUGGUUGGUGAGGUAACGGCCCACCAAGGCGACGAUCGGUAGCCGGACUGAGAGGUUGAACGGCCACAUUGGGACUGAGACACGGCCCAGACUCCUACGGGAGGCAGCAGUGGGGAAUAUUGCACAAUGGGGGAAACCCUGAUGCAGCGACGCCGCGUGGAGGAAGAAGGUCUUCGGAUUGUAAACUCCUGUUGUUGAGGAAGAUAAUGACGGUACUCAACAAGGAAGUGACGGCUAACUACGUGCCAGCAGCCGCGGUAAAACGUAGGUCACAAGCGUUGUCCGGAAUUACUGGGUGUAAAGGGAGCGCAGGCGGGAAGGCAAGUUGGAAGUGAAAUCCAUGGGCUCAACCCAUGAACUGCUUUCAAAACUGGUUUUCUUGAGUAGUGCAGAGGUAGGCGGAAUUCCCGGUGUAGCGGUGGAAUGCGUAGAUAUCGGGAGGAACACCAGUGGCGAAGGCGGCCUACUGGGCACCAACUGACGCUGAGGCUCGAAAGUGUGGGUAGCANACAGGAUUAGAUACCCUGGUAGUCCACACUGUAAACGAUGAUUACUAGGUGUUGGAGGAUUGACCCCUUCAGUGCCGCAGUUAACACAAUAAGUAAUCCACCUGGGGAGUACGACCGCAAGGUUGAAACUCAAAGGAAUUGACGGGGGCCCGCACAAGCAGUGGAGUAUGUGGUUUAAUUCGACGCAACGCGAAGAACCUUACCAAGUCUUGACAUCCUGCGACGCACAUAGAAAUAUGUGUUUCCUUCGGGACGCAGAGACAGGUGGUGCAUGGUUGUCGUCAGCUCGUGUCGUGAGAUGUUGGGUUAAGUCCCGCAACGAGCGCAACCCUUAUGGUCAGUUACUACGCAAGAGGACUCUGGCCAGACUGCCGUUGACAAGACGGAGGAAGGUGGGGAUGACGUCAAAUCAUCAUGCCCUUUAUGACUUGGGCUACACACGUACUACAAUGGCGUUAAACAAAGAGAAGCAAGACCGCGAGGUGGAGCAAAACUCAGAAACAACGUCCCAGUUCGGACUGCAGGCUGCAACUCGCCUGCACGAAGUCGGAAUUGCUAGUAAUCGCAGAUCAGCAUGCUGCGGUGAAUACGUUCC